GUCUUUAUUAUAGCCUACAUAUAUAUUUAUUCUACUCAAUAAUAUAAAACAUUUAUAUAAUGAUA
Molecule: ribosomal RNA, 65 nt
Filed under: Aneides flavipunctatus (black salamander)
Lineage: Eukaryota; Metazoa; Chordata; Amphibia; Caudata; Plethodontidae
Description: partial large subunit ribosomal RNA
Source: RNAcentral